AACAUAGCCCUAGAAAAUCUCUAAGGUGUAACCUGCCCAAUGGUUUCGAAGUAAAAACACGCAAAGGGUGUUAAACGAAGCUUAAAGGACGCAGUAACCUUGACUGUGAUAAUGUAGCGUAAUCACUCGCCAUUUAAUUGAUGGAUAGUAUGAAUGGUUGAACGAAUAUUCCACUGUCUUAAGAAGAAAUAAACAAAAAUUAAAAUAAUAGUUAAGAUGCUAUUUAAGACUGUAAGACGAAAAGACCCUAUAGAGCUUAACUAUAACCUCUUCAAAACAAAAGAAAAGAAAAUUCCUAAAAGAAGAGGUUGGUAGUUUAGUUGGGGCGACUAUCUUCUAGAAUUAACGAAGACAAGCAAAGUUAAUAAAAAACUUAUUGUAUAAUUAAUUAAUUUAACAAUUACAAAAGUAGGCUAUAAUGACCCGUUGAAGAUCCAUAGAAAUUUCAACGAUCAAUAAAUAAAAGCUACCUUAGGGAUAACAGGAUAAUUCAUGCUAGAGAUCUA
Molecule: ribosomal RNA, 506 nt
Filed under: Staurodiscus sp. 1 JRH-2012
Lineage: Eukaryota; Metazoa; Cnidaria; Hydrozoa; Leptothecata; Laodiceidae
Also listed under: 1 other name
Description: partial 16S ribosomal RNA
Rfam family: Bacterial large subunit ribosomal RNA
Source: RNAcentral